RNAcentral lists this small nuclear RNA (19 nucleotides) under Arabidopsis thaliana (thale cress). RNAcentral describes it as "snRNA_13169". The record is from RNAcentral. Lineage: Eukaryota; Viridiplantae; Streptophyta; Magnoliopsida; Brassicales; Brassicaceae.
GUGCCGCUCACGCCCGGUC